Long non-coding RNA from Bos taurus (domestic cattle), 2581 nucleotides. The record is from Ensembl. NCBI's taxonomy places the organism in Eukaryota, Metazoa, Chordata, Mammalia, Artiodactyla, Bovidae.
GUAAGGCUUCCCAGAAGAAGUGGCAUUUGAGAAGCGCCUUCAAUAAGGACCAGUGUCAUCACUGGAAGUGGAACAAUUAGAAAGGGGGUUUGGAUCAGAUGUGUGAGAGUCUUCAAAUACCUGGCCUAGAAGUCAGGCCUCCGUCGUCCUCGUGCGUGUUUGGAAACGUUUACUGGUUCCUUGGUUUAUCGCGCUAUCUGAGUGGUUGGCCCUUCAGUGCCAGUGGAGCCAGCGGUGCACUAGGAUCUCCCGUUAGUGCCUUCAGGCCCGCCGGGAACCUUCCUCUGCACUGCCCUGAUCCCCAGGAGGCUGACCCAUGCAGACUGCAUCAGCUGGGGUGCUGGUUGUGUGUGUGCAUGCCCCGUCACGGAGUUGCGUCUGACCCUUUGUGACCCCAGGGACUGUAGCCCACCGGGCUCCUCUGUCCAUGGGGAUUUCCCAGAUGCAGAGUUCUAAGCCUGGGUCCCUGAAUCACCAUGUGGAGCGAAGCUGCCUGCCAACUAGAAUCACCAGCAUUGGAGCAUGAUUUGUAUUGGUGAUCUGAAGAAGCUUGUAAGACCCAGAAGCCUCUGUGUUAUUGCAGCUUAGAAGCUGCAAUAACAGGCCAGGAUCAGGGUUCAAAUCCCCACUCUGACUCUUCCUGGCUCCAUGACACUGGACCAAUGACUUCACCUCUCUGUGCCUCAGUUUCCUCAUCUGUAAAGUGGGACCCCUUCCACCAGUCGUGGGACUCCUGAGGCAGAAUCGCACCUGCUUCACUUCGGGCCUCAAGCACAGACCUGGAGUUGACACCCAAGCCCCGCUCCUGCAGGACUUGACAUUUAUCCCCUGUCUUCCAACACCUUGUCGUGGAGGAAGAAGGACGUCUAUAGGAAUGAGACCUGUGCCACUGGGGCUUUGUGAGGGGGAGCCCUGACAUCUUAGAGAUGCCCUGAAAGCCCGGCUACAGAGAAAUCUCCUGGGACACAACAAGUUCUCAGUGACUGACGACGACUCCUAUGCUUCUGCUCUUCAGAUGGUUGAAUGAGUUUGGGACAUGUUGCAUGAUGGAGCAUUCUUCAAGAUUCUUGAUGCAGAGCGAGAUAAUACAGAUGCUGGUCACAUGGACAUAUUUUGCUUCUGGAAGUUGGGCUCUGAGCUUUCCCUGUCUCUGAACUCUCUCCAGUGCCAAUAACUCAGGGCUUGUCACAUGAUAGACGCAUGCAUGUGUGUGCACGCUAAGUUGCUUGCUUUAGUCGUGUCCAACUGUUUGCGAACCCGUGGACUGUAGCUGGCCAGCCUCCUCUGUCCAUGGGAUUCUCCAGGCAAGAAUACCCCCUGGAGUGGGUUGCCAUGCCCUUCUCCAGAGGAUCUUCCCAACCCCGGGAUUGAAGCUGCGUCUCUUAAGUCUCCUGCAUUGGCAGGAGGGUUCUUUACUAGUGACACCUGGGAAGCCCCCACAGAUGCACAGUAAACGCUGAAUGGAUCAGCAUCCUUUCUCCAGUCUCAAUCUCCUUAUUUGCUAACUCCUCCUCACUUUCCCAUUUUCCCUGCCUCAGAUUGUCUCCUUUUCCUGGCCUCCGCCUUCUGCCCUUCAGCACCCCCUUGUGGUCUCUAAGCACAUCACGACCUUAGCUGUCUCUGCAGUGAUCCAGGCCUCCAUCAUGCUUGUCUAACUGGCUCUGUCUCCAGAGACACUGCCCGCAUGCAUUCCAAACCCAGCAGGGACACUGUUGCCUGCUCCGUGCCAGCUCCUUAGCCAGACAUUCAAGGCUCACUACCUCCUAGCCCUAUGGGGGUGGUCUGGUCCCCAGGUAGAAUCUAGGAAGCCACUUUUAAACCAGCUUACCCCAAGGAAUCCUGCUUCCCUGCAGGAUAUUAAUAUAGCUAGCUCCGUUCUCCUUAGAUUAGUGUUUGCUGGGUAGAUCCUUUCCUGUACUUUCCUUUUAAACUGAUUUGUAUCUUUAUAUUCCAAGUGGGUUGCUGUAGACAACAUAUGGCUAAGUCUUACUUUUUUAUCCAGUCUGACAAUAUCUACCUCCUGUGUGGAUGCUAUUUAAAUUUAAUGUGACUAUUGGUAUGAUUGGGUUUAUAUCGACCUUCUUGCUGUCUGCUUUCAAUCCGUCCUACCUAGUCUUUAUCUUACCCUCACCUCUUUUUCUGCUUUUCCUUUCUUUUGGCCAAUCAACUACUUUUAUGGUUCUAUUUUCUGUUCCUUGUUGGCUUAUUUCAUGCCCAAUUGUUAAGCAGUUGAUUUCAGGUUUGCAUGUGUGCGUGCUCAGUCGCAAGCAGUCGUGUCCAACGCUUUUCUGACCCCAUGGACCGCAGCCCUCCAGGCUCCUCUGUCCGUGGAAUUUUCCAGGCAAGAAUACUGGAGUGGGUUGCCAUUUCUUUCUCCAGGGAAUCUUCCUGACCCAAAGAUUGAAACUGUGUCUCCCGCAUUGGCAGGCAGAUUCUUUAGCACUGUGCUGUACUGCGUCUUCAGCUUAUUACAGUCUCUAUAUUCAAGUAUGCCCACGUGUCAUGGAAGAACCUACAAUAGGACAUUUCAUUCUCCAUCAGCUUUUUGAGCUAUUACUGUCGUGCAUCUUAUUCUCCUUAU